RNAcentral lists this ribosomal RNA (277 nucleotides) under uncultured prokaryote. RNAcentral describes it as "partial 16S ribosomal RNA". It matches the Rfam family "Bacterial small subunit ribosomal RNA", at positions 524 to 801 of the family's 1533-position model. The record is from RNAcentral.
UACGUAGGGGGCUAGCGUUAUCCGGAAUUACUGGGCGUAAAGGGUGCGUAGGUGGUUUCUUAAGUCAGAGGUGAAAGGCUACGGCUCAACCGUAGUAAGCCUUUGAAACUGGGAAACUUGAGUGCAGGAGAGGAGAGUGGAAUUCCUAGUGUAGCGGUGAAAUGCGUAGAUAUUAGGAGGAACAUCAGUUGCGAAGGCGGCUCUCUGGACUGUAACUGACACUGAGGCACGAAAGCGUGGGGAGCAAACAGGAUUAGAUACCCCGGUAGUCCCUGAG